ACGUCUGAGCACGUUUUUGACGACCCUUAGGAAACUGUUACAGCAGCUGCAAUGCAGAAAUACCCAAACCCUAUGAACCCAAAUGUGGUUGCAGUUGAUGUAUUGGACAGACGUAUAGAACCAUCUGGAAACUUGCAUAGCCAUAGACUUCUCAGCAGAGUGGGAACUGCCUUCCAUUGUGAAAUCUAUUAUCGGUGCAGUAAGAACCAAAACAUAUGUGCAAGGACAUUCUGUAGUUGAUCCAGUAGAGAAAACAAUGAACUUAAGUCUACUAAUAUUUUAUUUACAAAUAUGGUUUCAGUAGAUGAGAGACUUACAUACAAACCACAUCCUCAGGACCCAGGAAAAACUGUUUUGACUCAGGAAGCUAUCAUCACUGUAAAAGGAGUUAGUUUUAGUAGCUACCUGGAAGGGCUGAUGGCAAGUAUGAUAUCGUCAAAUGCUAAUAAAGGGCGAGAAGCACUGGAAUGGGUAACACAUAAAUUAAAUGCUGAGAUUGAAGAAUUGACAGCCUCAGCAAGAGGAAGCAUCGGGACACCAAUGACAGCCGUAGCCUUUGUAGAGAAAUCAAAGUAUACAGCACCCAGUGCCCCAGGUUCUCUAUAUUGACAGUAUAUUUAUUUGUUAUUAAAAAAGUCAACUAUAUAUGUUAGGUAAAAUAAACUAAAGAUAAAAGGCUUUAUGACUGUUGAUCAAAAUAAAGAGGUGUAGGACUUCUAAAAAAAAAAGAAUUAUUUAUUAAAACUAAAUAAAAAGAAAGGAAAAAGAAAAAUUCA
RNA transcript from Erinaceus europaeus (western European hedgehog), 776 nucleotides. It is a transcript of the gene named PRELI domain containing protein 3B-like, with no coding region annotated. Lineage: Eukaryota; Metazoa; Chordata; Mammalia; Eulipotyphla; Erinaceidae. The transcript has a single exon. The record is from RefSeq and is a predicted model, not a curated record.